AACGCAAAUUGCACUCUCUUCGGAGAGUAUGCCUGUUUGAGGGUCAGUAUUAAUAAAAAUCGGCGUGUUGCUCUUUUGUGACGCUCCGGAGUUUGGGUCAUCUUAUAACGAUACCUUUUGAGGUGUUUUUAAGAGGCUUAAAAUUGACAUCUUUUUGCGCAUUUUUGACGUACAUAAAUUUUUUUAUUCGUUUAUUCUAAUGCCAAAAUCUAUUAGAUGUGACCAUGUCGUGUGGUUCCGUGUCUAUAAAUUUUUUCAUGAUUUGACCUCAAAUCAGGUAGGAACACCCGCUGAACUUAA
Molecule: unclassified non-coding RNA, 300 nt
Filed under: uncultured fungus
Lineage: Eukaryota; Fungi
Description: sequence contains ITS2
Source: RNAcentral